Molecule: ribosomal RNA, 273 nt
Filed under: Clostridioides difficile
Lineage: Bacteria; Bacillati; Bacillota; Clostridia; Peptostreptococcales; Peptostreptococcaceae
Description: partial 16S ribosomal RNA
Rfam family: Bacterial small subunit ribosomal RNA (bases 1-239)
Source: RNAcentral
CGAAAGGUAUGCUAAUACGGGAUAAUAUAUUUGAGAGGCAUCUCUUAAAUAUCAAAGGUGAGCCAGUACAGGAUGGAUCCGCGUCUGAUUAGUUAGUUGGUAAGGUAACGGCUCAACAAGGCGACGAACAGUAGCCGACCUGCUAGGGUGAGCGGCCACAUUGGAACUGAGAUAAGAUCCACACUACUACGGGCGGCAGCAGGUGGGAAUACUGCACACUGGGCCAAAGACGGAUGCAGGACAAAUGUGAAUGGAGCGAAAGCGUUCGGGUCG